RNAcentral lists this long non-coding RNA (782 nucleotides) under Linum usitatissimum (flax). RNAcentral describes it as "long non-coding RNA (LUSI_LNC003921)". The record is from RNAcentral. Lineage: Eukaryota; Viridiplantae; Streptophyta; Magnoliopsida; Malpighiales; Linaceae.
UUUAAUGCUAUGCGACGCACCAUGACGAUUAGUUGGAAACCAGGCAAAGCGAUGGAAGUCAAGGAUCUCAAGGAGGAAGAUAUCUAUCCCGAUUCCAUCACAAGUUGGAUGUGCAACAUAUAUUAGCUGCAGCAUCGUGGCACUACAAUGGAAAUCUCAUGAUACUACAUGAACUACAAGCUGGUGAGAACCCCACAACAAUCAAGCUAAGGUACGUUCCAUAUUGGCUACGGAUCCAAGAUCUUCCAACCGGUUACUUCUCGAGGACGGUGGGAAAAUUCCUUGGUGACUUUGCAGGAAAAUUCAUGGACUGUAACGCGCAAAACAACAACAAGGCGAUGAUGAGAUCCUAUAAGAAGGGAGAAGAAAGUAGCAAUCCAUGGCUAAAUAAAUGCAACCGGCAAAUAUCGUUAUGAGCGACUACAAACGUUUUGUUAUAUCUCGAGGUUGGAGUUAGCUUGAAAUCACUAGAUAUGCGGUAUUGAAUAUUUCGAAAUUUAUGAAACGACUUAUCUUCCAUCAUUCGAUGAUCAUUGCCCACAAUACCAUCAAUGUUGUUAUAUUUGAGGUUGAAUGAUGGUGAUGCCACUUUUUGUCCUCCCGCUGGUGAGCAUACAUCCCUCCCACCCCUCUCCUGGAGUUUCAAAUUCCUCAUAUCCUAUCUCAUAUCUUCAUAGUUGAAUAUCUCAUAUCUCUUGAUACAUUAUGAAAGAGUCCCCAUAUUUGAUUAUAUGUAAAAUUUGGACGUUCUUAUAAUUUAGCUAGAUAAUAUUCAAAGUUUC